This 497-nucleotide ribosomal RNA is filed under the name uncultured bacterium. RNAcentral describes it as "partial 16S ribosomal RNA". It matches the Rfam family "Bacterial small subunit ribosomal RNA", at positions 28 to 507 of the family's 1533-position model. The record is from RNAcentral.
GAUGAACGCUGGCGGCGUGCCUAAUACAUGCAAGUCGAGCGAACAGACGAGGAGCUUGCUCCUCUGACGUUAGCGGCGGACGGGUGAGUAACACGUGGAUAACCUACCUAUAAGACUGGGAUAACUUCGGGAAACCGGAGCUAAUACCGGAUAAUAUAUUGAACCGCAUGGUUCAAUAGUGAAAGACGCUUUUGCUGUCACUUAUAGAUGGAUCCGCGCCGCAUUAGCUAGUUGGUAAGGUAACGGCUUACCAAGGCGACGAUGCGUAGCCGACCUGAGAGGGUGAUCGGCCACACUGGAACUGAGACACGGUCCAGACUCCUACGGGAGGCAGCAGUAGGGAAUCUUCCGCAAUGGGCGAAAGCCUGACGGAGCAACGCCGCGUGAGUGAUGAAGGUCUUCGGAUCGUAAAACUCUGUUAUUAGGGAAGAACAAAUGUGUAAGUAACUAUGCACGUCUUGACGGUACCUAAUCAGAAAGCCACGGCUAACUACGUG